RNAcentral lists this ribosomal RNA (468 nucleotides) under uncultured bacterium. RNAcentral describes it as "partial 16S ribosomal RNA". It matches the Rfam family "Bacterial small subunit ribosomal RNA", at positions 28 to 507 of the family's 1533-position model. The record is from RNAcentral.
GACGAACGCUGGCGGCGUGCUUAACACAUGCAAGUCGAACGGAAAGGCCCUGCUGUUGUGGGGUGCUCGAGUGGCGAACGGGUGAGUAACACGUGAGUAACCUGCCCUUGACUUUGGGAUAACUUCGGGAAACUGGGGCUAAUACCGGAUAGGAGCGCCUGCUGCAUGGUGUGGGUUGGAAAGUUUCGGCGGGUGGGGAUGGACUCGCGGCUUAUCAGCUUGUUGGUGGGGUAGUGGCUUACCAAGGCUUUGACGGGUAGCCGGCCUGAGAGGGUGACCGGCCACAUUGGGACUGAGAUACGGCCCAGACUCCUACGGGAGGCAGCAGUGGGGAUUAUUGCACAAUGGGCGGAAGCCUGAUGCAGCAACGCCGCGUGCGGGAUGACGGCCUUCGGGUUGUAAACCGCUUUCGCCUGUGACGAAGCGUGAGUGACGGUAAUGGGUAAAGAAGCACCGGCUAACUACGUG